This 1016-nucleotide ribosomal RNA is filed under the name uncultured bacterium. RNAcentral describes it as "bacterial SSU rRNA". It matches the Rfam family "Bacterial small subunit ribosomal RNA", at positions 357 to 1376 of the family's 1533-position model. The record is from RNAcentral.
AGGAAUAUUGGUCAAUGGACGAGAGUCUGAACCAGCCAAGUAGCGUGAAGGAUGAAGGUCCUACGGAUUGUAAACUUCUUUUAUAAGGGAAUAAAACCUCCCACGUGUGGGAGCUUGUAUGUACCUUAUGAAUAAGCAUCGGCUAACUCCGUGCCAGCAGCCGCGGUAAUACGGAGGAUGCGAGCGUUAUCCGGAUUUAUUGGGUUUAAAGGGAGCGCAGACGGGUCGUUAAGUCAGCUGUGAAAGUUUGGGGCUCAACCUUAAAAUUGCAGUUGAUACUGGCGUCCUUGAGUGCGGUUGAGGUGUGCGGAAUUCGUGGUGUAGCGGUGAAAUGCUUAGAUAUCACGAAGAACUCCGAUUGCGAAGGCAGCACACUAAGCCGUAACUGACGUUCAUGCUCGAAAGUGUGGGUAUCAAACAGGAUUAGAUACCCUGGUAGUCCACACGGUAAACGAUGGAUACUCGCUGUUGGCGAUAUACUGUCAGCGGCCAAGCGAAAGCAUUAAGUAUCCCACCUGGGGAGUACGCCGGCAACGGUGAAACUCAAAGGAAUUGACGGGGGCCCGCACAAGCGGAGGAACAUGUGGUUUAAUUCGAUGAUACGCGAGGAACCUUACCCGGGCUUAAAUUGCAGACGAAUUACGAGGAAACUUGUAAGCCGCAAGGCGUCUGUGAAGGUGCUGCAUGGUUGUCGUCAGCUCGUGCCGUGAGGUGUCGGCUUAAGUGCCAUAACGAGCGCAACCCUCGUGGCCAGUUACUAACAGGUUAAGCUGAGGACUCUGGCCAGACUGCCAUCGUAAGAUGUGAGGAAGGUGGGGAUGACGUCAAAUCAGCACGGCCCUUACGUCCGGGGCUACACACGUGUUACAAUGGGAGGUACAGAAGGCCGCUACCCGGCAACGGGAUGCCAAUCCCCAAAACCUCUCUCAGUUCGGACUGGAGUCUGCAACCCGACUCCACGAAGCUGGAUUCGCUAGUAAUCGCGCAUCAGCCACGGCGCGGUGAAUACGUUCCCG